Molecule: ribosomal RNA, 412 nt
Filed under: uncultured bacterium
Lineage: Bacteria
Description: bacterial SSU rRNA
Rfam family: Bacterial small subunit ribosomal RNA
Source: RNAcentral
GUGCCAGCCGCCGCGGUAAUACGUAGGGUGCAAGCGUUGUCCGGAAUUACUGGGUGUAAAGGGAGUGUAGGCGGGAUAGCAAGUCAGAUGUGAAAACUAUGGGCUCAACCCAUAGACUGCAUUUGAAACUGCUGUUCUUGAGUGAAGUAGAGGUUGGCGGAAUUCCUAGUGUAGCGGUGAAAUGCGUAGAUAUUAGGAGGAACAUCAGUGGCGAAGGCGGCCAACUGGGCUUUUACUGACGCUGAGGCUCGAAAGCGUGGGGAGCAAACAGGAUUAGAUACCCUGGUAGUCCACGCUGUAAACGAUGAUUACUAGGUGUGGGGGGACUGACCCCUUCCGUGCCGCAGUUAACACAAUAAGUAAUCCACCUGGGGAGUACGGCCGCAAGGCUGAAACUCAAAUAAAUUGACGG